UGGGGAAUAUUGCACAAUGGGCGCAAGCCUGAUGCAGCCAUGCCGCGUGUAUGAAGAAGGCCUUCGGGUUGUAAAGUACUUUCAGCGGGGAGGAAGGGAGUAAAGUUAAUACCUUUGCUCAUUGACGUUACCCGCAGAAGAAGCACCGGCUAACUCCGUGCCAGCAGCCGCGGUAAUACGGAGGGUGCAAGCGUUAAUCGGAAUUACUGGGCGUAAAGCGCACGCAGGCGGUUUGUUAAGUCAGAUGUGAAAUCCCCGGGCUCAACCUGGGAACUGCAUCUGAUACUGGCAAGCUUGAGUCUCGUAGAGGGAGGUAGAAUUCCAGGUGUAGCGGUGAAAUGCGUGGGGAUCUGGAGGAAUACCGGUGGCGAAGGCGGCCCCCUGGACGAAGACUGACGCUCAGGUGCGAAAGCGUGGGGAGCAAACAGG
RNAcentral lists this ribosomal RNA (429 nucleotides) under Chloroflexota bacterium. Its description in RNAcentral is "Chloroflexi bacterium partial 16S ribosomal RNA". It matches the Rfam family "Bacterial small subunit ribosomal RNA", at positions 355 to 776 of the family's 1533-position model. Lineage: Bacteria; Bacillati; Chloroflexota. The record is from RNAcentral.